CUGGGUAGCCCGGGCGGCCCCGAGGCGCGCUGAGGCUUGGGGCUGCGCGACAGGUCGGUCGUCGGCGCCUGGGACCACUGACCCGCCCCACCCAUCCAGACGGCUGGUCUGCCAGACACGCUCCUUGCUGUUUGGGGUUUUAGACGUCACAGUCUGUACUGGAGUCUUCCGCCUGACAACCGGCUCAAGCCAUUUACAGCCAGAAGAGAUUCUGAAUGAAGCAUUUUCUCUAACUUCAUGGUACAGAGGAGGAACGGAAGAUGCAGGGGCGCAGGGACUUGGGAAGACUAGAAUGUCUUUGGAGGGCUCAGCCAUGAGGGGACCCUUGAAACUCCCAGGAGGCUGAGAGGUUUGUUUCUACACGUUCGGUAGGUGCAUAGUUUUGAGAGCUGUGCCAACUGCAGUGCCCGCCACACCGAGGGAUGUUGGAUUACCUGCUCAGCAGUCAGGUCCAGGAAACAUAUGCUUUGUAACCCCCGCUACACAGACCAGUCUGGAUCUGCUUAGAUCUCAGAAUGGAAGGCUUUCUAAAGGAAAACUCCAGAAAUACCUGAAUUCAGAUGUAAAAAACUGUGCGAGAAUCAAGAACAAAGCCAGGGAAAGCAGAGGGAAGCAUCAUGAGUAUAACCCAAGACUCCGGGAAACAUCGGAUUCAUUUGACCAGCCAUCUUUGAUCUCAAAGCUGGCGAGGCAUGGAAGGACUGUUUGGAACACCUAGGCCAUGAAAACAUGCCUUUCUUUGUCUUCCACCCAAGGAGGAGGCAGCAUGGUGUGGCAAGGCAUUGCCAAGGUCUGCGGUUGGACUACCUAGUUCAAAUCCCAGCUCCACCACCUGCUUGCCAGGCUGACUUUGAGCAAGUUCCAGUGCCUCAAUUUCUGCACUUGCCAAACACAAAAGAUUAUUACACUGAAGUAUGUGAAGUUGCCGGCAUUUGACUGUUUUUGAAUACAAUGAGAUUAGACCCAAUCAUCUAAAGCUGCUGAUAUGUGACUGUUUUUGACAUAUAAAAAUGGCAAUUUCACGCGGCUGAUCCAAAAACCUGCUUCAACAGGUGACUUUGUAGUGAAAGCAAGAAACUGUAUUAAGUGUUGUACCAAAGAGCUGGUGUGUGGUAUGCCCUCAAUAUAGGUCAGUUGUUGCGGUCUCUGUAAAGAGGCUCAUAUCAACCACUGGCUCUAUGCAGAUCACUAUCCCAGGUGCCCAAAGUAUGGGGCUCCUAGGUAGCUCAGCCAGUCAAGCCUCCAACUCCUGAUCUCAGGGUUAUGAGUUCAAGCCCCAGGCAGCACCAUGGUGGGACAAUUUGAACAGAGAUAGGAGGAGUUCCUAGUCCUAAGGCAGGGGCUCUCUGUGGAAACCCCUCUGGCCCUGUAGAGGAUCCAGUCAAAGCAGAUGCGGUUUCUAAGAGCCACUAGAAACCAUGAAGAAGAAGGAAACCAACAGCGAUCCAUUAACAAAACACACCAUUCCGCGCACUGCAGCUUUCUGCCAGAUGAAAAGGCGAGUCUACACCUGGAAUCCUGGGAAGUGGCAAGUCUCAAGUGGCCCCUGGGGGAACACCAGUGGUAAUUUUCCCUUCCCCUUUCGCUGACCUUCCUGUUUCUCUGGGCAGCAUGGUGGGAAGACUGGGUCAUUAAAAGCAAGAGCACACGAACAACUUGAUGGGCUUUCUCCAUGAGGUGGCACAGCUGGGGAAUGCAGGCCCAGAAGACCUGGAGGAAGCCCUCUCAGGCUCCCUGGUGCUUUGGCCACUCAGCUUGAUAAGAGGACUGGAGUGGGUGGGGGAAAUGGGGUGACAAGGCAAGAAGAGGUGGGAGAAGGAUGCAGGUCUCAAAAGGGCCGAGAACAUAGACUUUUGAGCCAUUUCCACAUCACCAUGCUGUGCCUUCUUUUAAUGAUGACCAUAAAGAAAACCCCCAACUUUGUAAAAUUUCAUUGAUUCAGUACCUUCCUUUCUUUAAUAAAAACAUAAAAAGCAUAAAAAACAUAAUGCAUUACCUCUACUAACAACUAGAUGUGUGACUUUGGAAAAGCUACUUAAUAUCAUGGACCUCUGUGGUCAAAGAAGUGGGUUGGUUAAAGAAGCUCCAGAAUUCCGACUAUAUUAUUCUGGGUAAAAGCAAAUUCUGUCGCACACAGGCCAAAGCUCAAUUUGGGCCCAGCCUUGACCAAAAGAUGAAAAACAGAAUGGAGAACUUUAAGAUAGACACGUUUGAACCAUAUGAACAAUGUAAAAUAUAAGGGCUUUUUUUUUUUUUAAAGUCAACUAUACCAGAGCAAAUGAUUGCCAGAACAAAGAUGAAAUAAAAGGGAUUGUAAAGUA
Long non-coding RNA from Canis lupus familiaris (dog), 2321 nucleotides. RefSeq lists it as uncharacterized. The record is from RefSeq and is a predicted model, not a curated record. The transcript has 5 exons. NCBI's taxonomy places the organism in Eukaryota, Metazoa, Chordata, Mammalia, Carnivora, Canidae.